UAAGGAAUAUUGCGCAAUGGGGGAAACCCUGACGCAGCAACGCCGCGUGGAGGAUGACACUUUUCGGAGCGUAAACUCCUUUUAUCAGGAAAGAAUAAUGACGGUACCUGAUGAAUAAGCACCGGCUAACUCCGUGCCAGCAGCCGCGGUAAUACGGGGGGUGCAAGCGUUACUCGGAAUCACUGGGCGUAAAGGACGCGUAGGCGGAUUAUCAAGUCUUUUGUGAAAUCUAGUGGCUUAACCACUAAACUGCUUAGGAAACUGAUAGUCUAGAGUAGGGGAGAGGUAGAUGGAAUUCUUGGUGUAGGGGUAAAAUCCGUAGAGAUCAAGAAGAAUACCCAGUGCGAAAGCGGUCUGCUGGAACCUAACUGACGCUGAGGCGUGAAAGCGUGGGUAGCAAACAGG
RNAcentral lists this ribosomal RNA (405 nucleotides) under bacterium. RNAcentral describes it as "partial 16S ribosomal RNA". It matches the Rfam family "Bacterial small subunit ribosomal RNA", at positions 355 to 776 of the family's 1533-position model. The record is from RNAcentral.